Molecule: unclassified non-coding RNA, 422 nt
Filed under: plant metagenome
Description: partial contains small subunit ribosomal RNA and internal transcribed spacer 1
Rfam family: Eukaryotic small subunit ribosomal RNA (bases 1-46)
Source: RNAcentral
AAGUCGUAACAAGGUUUCCGUAGGUGAACCUGGGGAAGGAUCAUUAAUAAAAAGUUCGUCAACGGGAUCUAACUCUAAACUAAAUCCCGAGUUGGGCGAGCCAUCGGCUAGGUUUGCGUACGCGAAGUGUUCGAUUGACGAAUUGGGCUGCGGGGGGUACCCACCGACAACAUCCCCCAUGUGCGGGAGACGCUCGGAGGUACCCCUAUCGUGGAAUAAAAGGGGCAGCGGUAUCACUUCGGGAGCCGCGUAAGGGAGGAAGCUUACCCGCCUCCCGAAGUGAUCCUCCCUACCCAUGACCACACACGAUAAGCGACUCAAUUCCAAAACCCUUUGUUUGCCCAGCGCAAAACAUACUUCAAACUUUUUUCGUCUGAAUCUUUUUGUUGUUCUUUUUGAACUCCAAUAUGAAUUAUAAACAA